RNAcentral lists this non-coding RNA (238 nucleotides) under Acetivibrio straminisolvens. Its description in RNAcentral is "Clostridium straminisolvens T-box sequence". It matches the Rfam family "T-box leader". From Rfam's summary of the family: Uncharged tRNA acts as the effector for transcription antitermination of genes in the T-box leader family. T-boxes are found upstream of many aminoacyl-tRNA synthetase genes and some amino acid biosynthetic genes usually in Gram-positive bacteria. Lineage: Bacteria; Bacillati; Bacillota; Clostridia; Acetivibrionales; Acetivibrionaceae. The record is from RNAcentral.
CGAAAGACGAUGAAGGGAAAAAAAUGUACUUGAUUGUCCCAGAGAGUCGGGGUAGGUGGGAGCCGGCACAUUAGAGUACAUAUAUAGCUCAUCCCGGAGUUUCAAUCCUGAAAAAACAGUAGGGAUUGACGUUAACUACGUUACAGUUUGGUACAAAUAAGUACCUAAAAAUGAGGAUAUGAUUUUUAUGUCAUAUCGAACCAGGGUGGUACCGUGAAGUUGACCCUUCGCCCCUGCA